GUGGUGCAUGGCCGUUCUUAGUUCGUGGAGUGAUUUGUCUGGUUAAUUCCGAUAACGAACGAGACUCAAAUAUAUUAAAUAGAUAUCUUCAGGAUUAUGGUGUUGAAGCUUAUAUUGCCUUCAUUCAUGGUAGCAGUAAAAUGUUUAUUGUGUUUGAAUGUGUUUAUAUAAGUGGAGCCGUACCUGUUGGUUUGUCCCAUUAUAAGGACACUAGCUUCUUAAAUGGACAAAUUGCGUCUAGCAAUAAUGAGAUUGAGCAAUAACAGGUCUGUGAUGCCCUUAGAUGUCCUGGGCUGCACGCGCGCUACAAUGAAAGUAUCAACGUGUAUUUCCUAGACCGAGAGGUCCGGGUAAACCGCUGAACCACUUUCAUGCUUGGGAUUGUGAACUGAAACUGUUCACAUGAACUUGGAAUUCCUAGUAAGUGUGAGUCAUUAACUCGCAUUGAUUACGUCCCUGCCCUUUGUGCACACCGCCCGUCGCUACUACCGAUUGAAUUAUUUAGUGAGGUCUCCGGACGUGAUCACUGUGACGCCUUGCGUGUUACGGUUGUUUCGCAAAAGUUGACCGAACUUGAUUAUUUAGAGGAAGUAAAAGUCGUAACAAGGUUUCCGUAGGUGAACCUGCGGAAGGAUCAUUA
This 640-nucleotide non-coding RNA is filed under the name Drosophila willistoni. RNAcentral describes it as "Eukaryotic small subunit ribosomal RNA". It matches the Rfam family "Eukaryotic small subunit ribosomal RNA", at positions 1277 to 1831 of the family's 1831-position model. Lineage: Eukaryota; Metazoa; Arthropoda; Insecta; Diptera; Drosophilidae. The record is from Rfam by way of RNAcentral.